UACGUAGGGUGCGAGCGUUUUCCGGAAUUACUGGGCGUAAAGAGCUCGUAGGUGGUUUGUCGCGUUGUUCGUGAAAUCUCACGGCUUAACUGUGAGCGUGCGGGCGAUACGGGCAGACUAGAGUACUGCAGGGGAGACUGGAAUUCCUGGUGUAGCGGUGGAAUGCGCAGAUAUCAGGAGGAACACCGGUGGCGAAGGCGGGUCUCUGGGCAGUAACUGACGCUGAGGAGCGAAAGCGUGGGGAGCGAACAGG
This 253-nucleotide ribosomal RNA is filed under the name uncultured bacterium. RNAcentral describes it as "partial 16S ribosomal RNA". It matches the Rfam family "Bacterial small subunit ribosomal RNA", at positions 524 to 776 of the family's 1533-position model. The record is from RNAcentral.